This is a long non-coding RNA of Echinops telfairi (small Madagascar hedgehog), 426 nucleotides long. RefSeq lists it as uncharacterized. NCBI's taxonomy places the organism in Eukaryota, Metazoa, Chordata, Mammalia, Afrosoricida, Tenrecidae. The record is from RefSeq and is a predicted model, not a curated record. The transcript is spliced from 2 exons.
AGACUGAGUGGUCAAGUGCCUCACCCUUGGGCCCUGGGGCCUGGUUCGGCGCACAAGCAGGGCUCGCCCUGGUGCCGUGGCUUGUUGUGAAGAAGCAACAGCUCAGACUCUGCCCAUUUUUUGUGCAUGGUGGGGAUGCCCAGGCCAACUGAAUCCCAUCAGAUGAGGAAGAUUCUACUUCAGGAGCGCUGGUGGCACAGCGCUGAAGCACUCAACAGCUAACCGGUCAGCGGUCUGUAGCGGCCAGCCGCUCCUCAGCAGAACGAUGCAGCAGUGCGCGUCCAUCGGUUUGACAGCUUUGGGAGCCCUCUAGGGUCAAGAUGAGUAGAAAUUGUCUGGACCGCAACAGGGUUUAAAUUCUACGGCAGGGUUUGUUUGUUUUUGUAAGUUGAUUGCCUCCUACAAAUAGCGUAAAUACGGUAACUA